This 486-nucleotide ribosomal RNA is filed under the name uncultured bacterium. Its description in RNAcentral is "bacterial SSU rRNA". It matches the Rfam family "Bacterial small subunit ribosomal RNA", at positions 28 to 507 of the family's 1533-position model. The record is from RNAcentral.
GAUGAACGUUAGCGGGAGGCUUAAUACAUGCAAGUCGAGCGGUAAGUUUUAUAGCAAUAUGAAGACCUAGAGCGGCGCACGGGUGAGUAACGCGUACACGACCUGGCCUAAACUGGGGGAUAGCCUUGGGAAACUGAGAGUAAUCCCGCAUGUGAUUAUGUUACUGAUGGUGAUAUAAUUAAAGCUUCGGCGGUUUUAGGAUGGGUGUGCGUCUGAUUAGCUAGUUGGUAGUGUAACGGACUACCAAGGCGAUGAUCAGUAGGGGGCGUGAGAGCGUGACCCCCCCACACGGGUACUGAGACACGGACCCGACUCCUACGGGAGGCAGCAGUAAGGAAUAUUGGUCAAUGCCCGGAAGGGUGAACCAGCCAUCCCCGCGUGAAGGAUGAAGGGGCUCUGCCUUGUAAACUUCUUUUGUAUGGGGCGAAAAAGGGGAUUUAUCCUCGACUGACGGUACCAUAAGAAUAAGCACCGGCUAACUCCGUG